GCUAUCACAAAGCCCGGAUGACAUGCAGGCUCCCUGACCUGGCCGUCACUGAGGAUGGAGUGGAGGGGCCCCAGCUCCCCCGACAGCUCCAGGAUCUCGUUGUCAUCUGGCUGCCACCCAGACGACCUCGAGGCCUCCAAACCUGGUCCCCCCUGAGCACUUCUUCUGCAGGGUGAAUCGCCAGGACGGCGUUGUGGUCCUUCCUCAGCCACGUGCUUCCUCUGCAGGAUUUAGGAAUCUAUCUGGGUCCCUGAAGGUCAGAGCAAGCGGAGCAAGCGGCUGCCUUUCUUCCCCUUUCCUGGUGUCUCGUGGUCAAAGCUUCACUGAAGACUCAAUGCAAGGCUUACGGCAAAUCCCACGAACAGGCUGGCAUGACUGUGUGGACGGGUGGCCCUUCAGCCCUUGCAGAGCAGUGGGGUGCGGGCCUGGCCACCAGCCUGGGGCACCCAGGGCGUCUGUGUCACCCGUGCAGGGGAUCAAGUCGGAGACCUCUCAGUGAGGUUCAAGACAUUUCUUGGCUCCGAGUCGGAAGAAGGUACACGGUGUAGCAAGCAGCUGUAUGUCCCAUGCUCACCAAGUCUUGGCGCCGCAUGCCACCUCUGCUACUUAUCAGGAGCCCGUGGUGUGUCUCCCCAUCAGCAUUUGGAGCUACCAGACUCCUGAGCAAUGUUUAUGCCCCACAGGGCCUCUGAGGACCAAAGGCUCUUCAUUUUACUGAAGCAAAUCCAGGUGGGCUUGUCCUUGUCGGUGGUGUGAUCUGCGUCCUGGCUCAGCUGUCUCUGUCCCAUGGCCCUACGUUCGGAGCUGGCUUCCAUGUGCUCCACCGUGGGCCAAACCCUGCCAGGCCGAGCACCAUCCUCCUCCCUCUGGGUGCCUGGAGCUGACAGAGACAUGAGGGGGAGCCUGAGGCUUCCCGCUCCCAGCUCUUGUCCUGCAUCCCCUGGGCCUUGCACUGAUGCUGACCUAGCUCAGGGCACACGGUACUCUCCCCCCGGCCUGACUCAGCACAGGUGGAGCAUCCACGAAGGUGCCUGGGCUGCAGCAUGGGACGCGGAGCCCACCGUGGUGCAGAGCGCUCUCCUGCAGCGACCCCACAUGCCUUGUGAGGGUGGCCAGGCAUCAGCCAGGGCCAGCUGGCUUCCUGCGCUCUCAUCCUCCAUAGUCCCCCAUGGCCCCUCAGUGGCUCCCACCAGCCAGGCCCCCCUCCCACUGAAUGCUGAUCCCCCGCCAACCACGCAGCGGGAGGGGGGGUGUUAUUUUUCUUUUGUUUUCAUCCCAAUGUUGAUGCUCUUUCUGGUUCUACACCUAAUGUUAU
Molecule: long non-coding RNA, 1315 nt
Organism: Canis lupus familiaris (dog)
Lineage: Eukaryota; Metazoa; Chordata; Mammalia; Carnivora; Canidae
Exons: 3
Source: RefSeq, a predicted model, not a curated record